CCAUCCAGUAUCGGGCUAGAGGUAUCAUAUCCAAUCGUCGAAUGUUCACUGAUGCACUACUAGCGUUAGUCUGAAAGUGUCUACCAGGAAGACACACAACCUCCUCAAUUUCAGCUACAUUACCAGACAAACCAGCAUGUGCCGCAUACUGGCACUGCUCCCCUGGCCACUCUAUUCCCAAAAAGCUGUUAAUGGUAUCAGGGUCAUAACUGAUAGUCUGCCCC
Molecule: long non-coding RNA, 224 nt
Filed under: Vigna radiata
Lineage: Eukaryota; Viridiplantae; Streptophyta; Magnoliopsida; Fabales; Fabaceae
Description: long non-coding RNA (VRAD_LNC014823)
Source: RNAcentral